This is a non-coding RNA of Ictidomys tridecemlineatus (thirteen-lined ground squirrel), 1764 nucleotides long. The record is from RefSeq and is a predicted model, not a curated record. NCBI's taxonomy places the organism in Eukaryota, Metazoa, Chordata, Mammalia, Rodentia, Sciuridae.
GUUAUAUAGUGAAGGCCACCAAGGUUUAUAAGGGAUAACACUGACUGUCUUGGCUCUUCCCUUGGGCAUUUUACAUGCUUCGGUGGACGUGUGACAAUGCUGUAGGAUCUCCUUACCCCUGAUGUUGAGGCACUGCCCAGAGCCUUGGCACGGAAAGGAGACUGAGUGAGGAACUGGGGCUCCAAGGACCACCAACCAGGAGCCCACAAGUAUCAGGACAUGGUACUCUGACCUUCUCUGUAAAAGUAGCCUGCAUGACUUUGGUUUGUAUACAUGGUACACCAAAUCUCACUGCCUCUAACAUUUCCCAUGAAAUAUGUAAGAAGUGAAAAGUUAUACUCCCCUACACACACACACACACACACACACACACACACACACACACACAUAUCCUGGUCAGUAAUCUUAUAAACCCACUUUCCUUUCUAAAGCUUAUUCCAGGUACGCCCCUUCCUGUACACGGCAGAUGAAAGAUUGCCAUAUUUCCUUUUCUUUCUUCUUUUCUUUGCUUUUGCUCACCCAAGGAAUGUAUUUCACCUUCACCUGAAACUUAACUGGUCCUAUAAUUCUCUUUGGCCAAUAAGAUGCAACAGACAUGCAUGGACAUUUCCAAGGUCGGACCUCUUCCUUUCUCACUUGCACAUCAUUGGAAUUCUCUUCCUGGAACUCAGCCACCAUGCUGUGUGGAGCCGAAUCCAUGUAGAGGCCAGGAGGAGGAGAUUCGAGGAGCUCUGGAUGACAGCCCAGCUGAGCUCUACCCUCUGGCCAGCACCAGCUGCCAGUCAUGUAAUUGAGCCAUCGUGAACACUACUACAGCCUCGUUGUGCCUUCAGAAGACUGCAGUCCCAGCCAACCCCACAUAGAGCAGAAGAACUGCCCAGCUGAGACCAAUUCUACAUUGAACUGUGAAAGACUACAAAUGGUCAUUAUUUGAAGCCAUUAAGUUGGGAGAGCAGUUUAUUAUAAGGUCAAAAAUAACUAAAGCAUUCCCUCAUUUCUAUUCAGCAUUUAGCCUGAGCCUAGACCCUUAAUAUCCCUAAUGUUUUGGAAAUAAAUGUCCAAAUACAUCACACAUAAUAAAGGGUCAGAGGAUAUUAAGUGCAUGUGUACACAAUUCACCUGUUUGCACACCAUAAGAACGUUGUUUUGGAAAAGUGAUUGACAAGUACACAUUCUUAGUGUACUAAGGAGCAUCCCAAUUCUUCCUUGGCCACCACUAAAUACCAGUUUAGAGGAACCACGGCAGGUGAUGUGAUUUCACGUGUCUCCAUAUGCUCCUGCUGCUUAUUUCUCUACGGUGUCUCAUGCCCUAUCAAGGCUCCACAAGGUAUAUGCAGCGGUUUUCCAGUUGUCAGAAAUGGAGAAGUUUGUUUUCUUUCCUAAAACUGCUCAGCUCUAUGACUUCAUCUUCAGGAUUUAAGAGCAAAAGACCCUGAUAGGGGAGGCUGCCAAAAUCCGCAGAGAACAUUAGUGCAUUUUACAGACUGUUUAAUAUGUACAGCAUUCCAAUGACAAUCAUGGAUUAGCUAGCCUCUUUCAUUCAAUGCAAUUUUUUUUUUGUCUUACAUUUUAAUGUCUCAGGUUUUCCCUGUCUAUGUUAAACUGCAGCCAUUUUUUUCUUCAUGUUUUCCCCAUCACUGAAAGACUCAAGAUCCUUCCUAGGAAAUCUUUUGAUAAGAACUGUUUAAACAAAAUAUCUUACAUGCUUAUAAUUUACCAAGUUCUUUAAAUAAAUCAUCUCCUUUGCAUCAGUCUGUUCAUGAA